AGCCAAGGCUGGGUCAUACUACGGGAACAGCGGACUGAAGGCAUCCACUGCCAGACCAUGAAUUAUCAACUGAAGCCAACGGUUAAUAUCCAGAGUCACACGUGGAGAGGAAGCAUCACAAUGAGACCAUACAACCAUAUAAUCUGUUCAAGUCCUAGAAGGUGUUGGCAGAGCUGCAGGACUGACCUAGGUCAAUGGCUGUGGGGAUUUGGGGUUUCUACAGCCAGCAUCACUGAUGGUGACAGAGACACACUGCUUCACACACAGCUGGCUUUCCUUUUUUUCUGAGGUACCAAGUGUUUGCCACCAACAGUGUAUCUAAGACACAAUGUCUGGCUAGUCUUUUGCUAUUAGAAAGGUGCAGCAUCUCACACCUGUAAUCCCAGCACUUUGGGAGACAAAGGCAGGUAGAUCACCUGAGGUCAGGGAUUCAAGACCAGCCUGGCCGACAUGGUGAAACCCCAUCUCUACUAAAAAACUACAAACCUUAGCCUGGCAUGGUGACACAUGCCUGUAAUUUCAGCUACUCAGGAGGCUGAGGCAGGAGAAUUGCUUAAAGCAAGGAGGCAGAGGUUGCAGUGAGCCAAGAUGGUGCUCCAGCCUGAGCAACAGAGUGAAACUCCAUCUCAAAAAAAAAAAAAGAAGUUUGUUCAUCUGGUUCUGGUAUUGACAGUCUGGUUUUCUUGACAUCUUUUCCUGUGACCUUACUCAGCCUGGCUUGAAUCCAUUGUUGAAGCUCGAGACCGUGUCUCCAGGUGGAGAGAGAGGAGACAGAGAGAAGGAAGUUGCUAUGGGGGUUUGAGCCAGCUGUGACAGUGAUGGAUAUGCACACAGAACACAACUCUCCUCCCAAAACCCCACAGAGAAGAGGCAAACAAUAGGUCCACCUAAGUAUCAUGGCACAAAUCUCUUCCAAAUGGACAUUAGCCUCCUGGAAACAACAGUGACUCUAUUAGCUCCUCUCUGAGCUAUUGAUCUUAUAACUAGGAAGUGGUAAGGAAAUUGCUUUCCCCUAAACAGAGAAGAGAGCGGCCUGUCAUUCUGGAUGUGUUUGGAUUCCACUUAUCUAGAACAUGGCACCCAGUUCAAAUGGUAUAGAACUUACUUGAACAGAACAGGGAAAGGCGAGGAGGCGGGAAAACAGCUGAGAUGACAGAGUAAGUGCAGAAAAUUCUUAGAAUCUUUGUGCAUGUAAUUAGUCUACAGCCUACUAUCUGCUUUUGUCUAACUUCGGAUUUCGAAAUAAAGAAAAUCAAACAAAAAAGAA
Molecule: long non-coding RNA, 1267 nt
Filed under: Homo sapiens (human)
Lineage: Eukaryota; Metazoa; Chordata; Mammalia; Primates; Hominidae
Description: novel transcript
Source: RNAcentral